GAGAAAUCACAUUUUGGCUAUUCCCCGACUUGAACCAGGGGAUAGAAAUCGUAGUCACCGGCUGGGCGCAGCGGCUCAUGCUGUAAUCCUGGCAGUUUGGGAGGCCGAGGCGGGCAGAUUAUUGAGGUUAGGAGUUCGAGACCAGCCUGGUCAAUAUGAUGAAACACCGCCUCUAGUAAAAAUACAAAAAUUAUCCGGGCGUGGUGGCGAGCGCCUGUAAUCCCAGCUACUCAGGAGGCUGAGGCAGUAGAAUCCCUUGAACCUGGGGUGCGGAGGUUGCAGUGAGCCAAGAUCGCGCCACUGCACUCCAGGCUGGGCGACACGGCGAGACUCUGUCUCAAAACAAAACAAAAGGAAAAGAAGAGAAAAGAAAAAGAAACGCAGGCACCCUGAAAUCGAAACUUGUUAGGACCAACAAGCCAACGACAGACGAAUCUGCGGGGUCCUGCGACAGACACGCCAGCCCCGCCGCCACAGCACAGGGUUCUGGAGGUCGAGCUGUUCUGCGGGUUCUGCGGCGGCGCUGGGAAGAGACGGCGCCCGGGCAGCUCCCCUGUCACCGGCUUGGAGGAGCGGCGGGCUCCCCUAGCCCAGCGCCGCCGCCGCCGCCCGGGAACGCCAGGCUCACCCCAGCUGGGGAAGCUCCGAAUCCCUCAGAUCGGCGACCUGAGUGCUGUCGCCCCGAGAAAAUGGAGGCAUCGAGCAACGAGCUGUGCUGAGACCGAGAGACCUCAGUUCUGCGAAAUGUCGGUGCCUGGAGCUUGCGAAUGACUGCGGCCGGCGGGUUGUCAAGGACAACAUUCCUUAUGGCGCAACCAACAGCGCUGUCACCAAGAAACUGGACUCUGAGAAAAAAGAGGGUUUCGGCCACCGAGAAACUCCGUGCCACAUGUGCCGUGACAGCAAAACCGCCCGCUCCGCGCCGCUGGUGAAAGAGCUAACGAACGCCAGGUGCUGCGACAGUGACACCGGGACUAGAAGGCCUCGGAUGGAGAAUGGGACGCCCAGAGCAAGCAGGAAAACGUUUUGUUUGGCUCAACUAGCGCUGUCGCAACCGGAAAACUGUCAGGCCAGUGCUGCUGCGGAUGUGAGAAACCGGUGAUCCGAAGGCGGAGUGGCGCUGGGCGCUGGACUCGCUGGUGUGAAAAUCUGGCUGCUCUAGGACCCGGCAAGCGCGGGCACCAGGCGAACGCCAGCGACUUUGCCAGACAAAUGCAUGUCUUUUUUGGUCGCCAUUCAAAGAUGCAGCCGGCAGUCAGCCCCGGCUCUGAGAAACAAGUGGAGGUGUCAGCCAUAAACCCUCCGUUCAGGGAAAAGAGAGUCGCUGCGACGGAUCGACUGGCCGUUGGGUGGAACUUUCUUUGGUGGCCUAGUGACUAGAAAAUAAAAACGAAAACGAAAUAAAAAACUGCUACUGACAUUACUCCCACGCUCCCUCCUCAAGUCAGUGGCUUCAGGCUUAAGAAAACCUGUAUUUUUCUUGGCUGAUCCGUGAUCCCUAAUUACUGAGGGCCCCGCGACCCACCAAGUGCGAUUCGCAGAGGGAAAGGAGCUGGAAUAAGGAUCCAGAAUGGGACGGAUUUGGCUCCUCCAGGAAGAAAGCAAAACAAAUGCAGGUCGCGAACACUUUACAUUGCAGGAAGCUGCUCUUCCAGUGGCCGCGGCUGGGUCCUUCCACACCACCUCUCUGUCCUAGGCCUUCGUCCCGGUUCAGCCCUCACGGAUUCUAGGCUAGCGGUCAACAACCGCAUCCCUCCGGAACCUGGAAACUCUAGGUCCGAGAUCUCGGUGAAGAAUGAAAGGCACAGCGCCGCUCAACCCAGGCUUCAGGCCUGCCCCGCUGGUCCCGUCCCUUCCCUGUGGGAUGGAACUCUGUGGGAAUCGCUCCUUAUUCUGAUGGUUCACUCAUUCAGAUGUCCUUGAUAUUUGGGGAUAUUUCUAAAACAGCUGGGGAGAAAAAUGGACUGCGAGGCUCCGGUGUUGGACGUGAAAUUGGCAGUGAGACAUCCGCCUCUAAGCCCAGGGAAAAGCUUAAAUUGUGGUUCUCUGUCUCUAGCACCGUGAUCUUUGAAAUGCGUUAUUGAUUUUCUUCUUUCUUCUGGGAAAUGCAAUGCAGGUGAACUUGUCCUGCAUGCCAGUAAAACUACUCAUGUCAGCUGUUCUGCAGGAUCCCAUGAGAAGGUGAGUCACCAGAAAAUGCAGUUUCCACAUCCUGAUGAUUUCAUCUCCCUACCCCAACUGAUCAAUUUCUCCAAUUUUCCAGCCUCUCACCCUCCACAAUCCCCUUAAAAACUGUAGCCCAGAACUCUCUGGAAUGAUGAAUUUGAAGGUUUGCUCCUGUCUCCUCACUCAGAAGCCUGUAAU
Homo sapiens (human) is the source of this 2364-nucleotide long non-coding RNA. Lineage: Eukaryota; Metazoa; Chordata; Mammalia; Primates; Hominidae. The record is from Ensembl.